This 460-nucleotide ribosomal RNA is filed under the name uncultured bacterium. RNAcentral describes it as "partial 16S ribosomal RNA". It matches the Rfam family "Bacterial small subunit ribosomal RNA", at positions 338 to 795 of the family's 1533-position model. The record is from RNAcentral.
CCUACGGGAGGCAGCAGUGAGGAAUAUUGGUCAAUGGUCGGAAGGCUGAACCAGCCAUGCCGCGUGAAGGUUAGUGCUCUAUGGGCGUUAAACUUUCUUUGUGCGGGAGCAAUAAUGGUCACGUGUGGCCAGACGAGAGUACCGUACGAAUAAGCAUUGGCUAACCCCGUGCCAACCGCCGCGGGAAAACGGGGGAUGCAAGCGUUGUCCGGUUUUUUUGGGGUUUAAGGGUGCGUAGGCUGUGUGGUAAGUUCGCGGGGAAAUGCCCGCGCUCAACGGGGUGAAGUGCCAUUGAUACUGGCAGGCUGGAGUGCGGAUGCGGUAGGAGGAAUGUGUGGUGUAGCGGUGAAAUGCAUAGAUAUCACACAGAACACCGAUUGCGAAGGCAUCUCACGAAUCCGCGAUUGACGCUGAUGCACGAAAGCGUGGGUAUCAAACAGGAUUAGAUACCCGAGUAGUC